Molecule: long non-coding RNA, 279 nt
Organism: Apis cerana (Asiatic honeybee)
Lineage: Eukaryota; Metazoa; Arthropoda; Insecta; Hymenoptera; Apidae
Source: RefSeq, a predicted model, not a curated record
CGAAGAUGUCAGUAUAUCCUUCGAUAGUUAAAGUGUUGGUGAUCGCGGAUCAUUUUUAUCUAAAGUGUUAUAAAUUUUAGCGACAAAAAAUCGAUUGUUAUCAGGAUAUUGGAUUGCAUAUUGAAUUGGAUUAUCAUUCAUUUCUUUUUGUUUCAUCAAUUUUGGGUUGCAGAAAGAUGGAAAGAGAAAAUUGAGCAUAAUAUGAGAUGAAGGAAUUGAUAAGGUAAGUGGAAAUUUAACAGAAAAAUUGAAAAAAAAAAUACAUAAGAGACGUAAACU